CGCAGACCCGCAGACUCCUCCUCCUCCCGUGGAGGGCGGGUAGCCUGUAUAGGACGCCGGAGGACUCCUCCCCUCGGUGGUCUUAACCCUUCUAUUCCCGGCGCGGCCCGCACCCCCGCCACUCCCGCCUUCCCGCCAGGUCUGAGGAUGGGAGGCGGUGCACUGGCGUCCUGAUGGCGGAAACCUGAUCCCGGGAAAGAAGGAGGCAUGAGCGAUGAAAUCUACUUUUUCUCCCCACACCCGGAGUCCAAUGUUGUAUACCACGCGAGUGCCCAUGAGAUUCUUCUGAACUGAAAAUGAAUUCUGCUCUCUGUCAGUCUGUGCUUUUAGCUAGUCCUCUGAGCUGUAUUUCUGCAGAAAUCUACGAGUCUUCUGCAGACAGAGGCGCUGGAGAGCAGGGGUUUAUUUCUGUCAGAGCCCACACUCUUAAGCAUUCCCAACCGUACCCUCCGUAAAGGCUGGGGAGAAGUGGGAAGAGCUGGUGACUUCAGUGUCCGUUCACAGCUGGUGGCACCAAGUCUGGUUACAGAGUAGGAGCCAGAAUCCCGUGAUGUCCAGAGAUGUCCAGCAUGUCAAAUUCUAGGCCAGAGACCGAGCCACAGGCACCAAGAGGCCAGAAAAUAUUGGAUGGCAGUUGGCUUAAAACGCAAUGGCCGGUGCUUUGCG
Balaenoptera acutorostrata (minke whale) is the source of this 666-nucleotide long non-coding RNA. RefSeq lists it as uncharacterized. Lineage: Eukaryota; Metazoa; Chordata; Mammalia; Artiodactyla; Balaenopteridae. The transcript has 4 exons. The record is from RefSeq and is a predicted model, not a curated record.